UCCCUGGUGGCUCAGAUGGUAAAGCUUCUGCCUGCAAUGCAGGAGACCUGGGUUUGAUCCCUGGCUCAGGAA
Molecule: transfer RNA, 72 nt
Filed under: Bos taurus (domestic cattle)
Lineage: Eukaryota; Metazoa; Chordata; Mammalia; Artiodactyla; Bovidae
Also listed under: 5 other names
Rfam family: tRNA
About the family: Transfer RNA (tRNA) molecules are approximately 80 nucleotides in length. Their secondary structure includes four short double-helical elements and three loops (D, anti-codon, and T loops).
Source: Rfam by way of RNAcentral